Molecule: long non-coding RNA, 14497 nt
Filed under: Heterocephalus glaber (naked mole-rat)
Lineage: Eukaryota; Metazoa; Chordata; Mammalia; Rodentia; Bathyergidae
Description: lncRNA (ENSHGLG00000039863.1)
Source: RNAcentral
AGAGAACAGAAGAGGAAGGGUGGCAAGAUAGAAGGGAAGGAAGGAAAAAGGGAACAAAGGAAAGACUAAAAGGGGAGGAAAAAUGGAAGGAUACAUUAUAGAUUUGAGGCUUUAGCACUUUGUAACCUUUGUCAAGUUCUUAAUUUGACUUGAGUAUCAGUCUCUUCAUCUGAAAAAUGAGCAUAAUAAAUCUGUCUCAAGCCAGGGAUUUUGUUAAGUGGUGCCACCACCUGCCUCGCAAGCACAAAGUCCUGAGUUUGAUCCCCACUACCAAAACAAAAACAAAACCCGUCUCAUUGUAAGGAUUAAAUAUAAUGUAUGGAAAGUCCCAAGAACAAAGUCAGGUGUGGUGGUAUACACCUGUAAUUUUAGCUCUGUGUGGGAGGCUGAGGCGGGAGGAUCCCAGUGUGUUUGAGGCCAACCUGGGCUACGUAGUGACGUCGAGGCCAGCUUGAAUACAUAGCAAGACCCUGUAAAUGAAUAAAUAAAUAACUAAAAUUUUUUUAAAUCAGGAACAAUGCAGUCACCUACCUAACUGCCAGAUUUUUGUAUUUCCUAGGGAAUGUCUUGUAGCACUCAAUAACAAGUUGUUGGUUAUAUUAUUAUUGCUAUUGUUUUUUCCUCUUUAGUAGAAGGUUGGACACAAACUGAGCUGGAGGUGCCACCCAUUAUUGGGAAGAAGAGGAGGAAGAUAAGGAGGCUCGGGCCCUUGGAUCAUGGGUGGAGGCACUGACUAGAGGGAGCCUCGGCCCUUGCGGGCUUCACCAGGGGAGCCCAGUGCACUGCCUGACUCACACACACCUGACACCGGGGAGCUUAAGGGGUCCCCAGUGGGAACGGAGGGCUUGACUCAGGAAUGCUUACACAACGAGAUGAGGUCCAACCAGGAAAAAUAAGAUGAAAAUUUACAUAAAAAUUGUGUUUAUAUGAAACAACUUCCAGCACAUUAAAGCAAGACAUGCAUGCCAAAAAGAUGCCAAACUGUCCACAAGUGAUGUACAUGUAUGCCUAGGAUACUGGAAAAGAGAAAAGCAUGAUUUCAAAGUGGAAAGAUAACAUUGUCUUGGAUCUGAGACUUCUGAUGGGGCUCUCCUGUGCCCCACAUACGUGGUCAUCACUGUGCACAGACUUGGAAAAGGGCAGCAAUGUCUGGGACCAGAGGCUGCACCACACACGCGUGAGUUUACAACACACCUCUUAAACUGUAUAUGACUGGAUUCAAUCCAAGUAGUAAUGUCUUUGAACCCAGGGUUUUAUCUAAAUCGCAAGAGUUCCGUAAUGAUGUGUGUAAAUUGGCUAAUCCAAAAGAAAUGUAUAAAGUUUAAGAAAGUUAAAUGGAUUGAUUUCUUAUCAUCCCUGGCAUUGGAAUAUAUAACAUCCUUAGAGCCACAGUAAAUCUGUGCCACGAGAACAGUUCCACAUAAACGCAGAUGAGCAUUUAAACCACAUACAUGUUAAUGAUUGCUGUUUGGGGCUUUUCUGCCAAAUAAUUGUAACAAAGCAAAACAAAAGAUUGCCAAGUUGAUAGGAUUGCUUAUGGCUUAUGGCUCCUUGGGCUGGUAGAACCUGAUAAAAAUGAUGUUUUAAUCAUUCUUGGAAGUGAGUAUGGAACUGUAAUAGUUCACAGUACUGCAUGCUCAGUAGAUCCAUGCAUGCUUGCAUGGUGCUGGGUGAGUUUUGUUUGCAAGUUUGUCACAGUAACUUGGUGAAGUAAGUGCCUUUGUUUCCCUAAGAGGUUCGUUUACUUGUCCCUUCCCCCUGCUGGGUGGUAAGAGGUCAAGUGGGCAUUUGAGCUCAGGUCUGCUGACACCAGAGCCCUAUUUGUCAUCAGGGUGCUGAGUGCUCUCAGCUUAGAUCAGAACCUGCCUGCGAGUGGGAGGUGGGAGUAGGGAAGUGUUAGUCAUUCAGAGAUAGAGGAAAAGCAAUUUGAGAAAAUGGGUUUGUAUAUAGAACUAGGAAAUGACGGUGUGGAGAGUUUUGGUGAGCUGAAUCAAUGACCUGUAUUUGACUGUUACAAUUCUGCCAAGGGCCGUUCUUUGUUGUCAGUUAUUUUUAAAAAUCUUAAAGACCCAGGGAUUUAGCUCAGUGGUUCUGCCGCCAGCCCCACAAGCACAAGGACUGAAGUUCGAUCCCUGGUACCAAAAACAAAAAAUCUUCUUAAAGAGUCUAAGGUUAGAUCCUUGAGAACAGGUGAGAGGAGGAGAAAAAGUAACCAUUGAAACAAAUGAGUGAGGAGUAAGUAGAUAAAUUAGAAAAAUAAUCUGCAUGGAUUUUGAGGUCCAUUAAGAAGGGAUUGAAGCUGAGUUGAAGCAUUAUUAAUAUUUUUAAUAUUCACUGUGUAUUUGGCCAGUGUAGACACUGCAGCUUUUUCUGAGUGGGCCCUGUGUCACAGGGUAGACAUGGAGUGGACAAAAUGUGGCUCCCUCCCCAGCAUGGGAGCCCUGGGUGGUGCAGUGUUAAAUGGAGAUAGCUGGGCCUCACAGUCAGGAUAGGGGAGUGUGGGUGGCACCUGCUCCCCUGCAAUGGGCUUAACUCUCAUCAGUUAUGUGUGUAAGAGCUAAUAGUUAAAACUCCCAAAUAGGAAAAAAAACCACCUCACUAUCUAAAUGCAGCGUUCCAGUGUGAGCACCUGAAUUAGCAGUGCUGUGGAGGACAGCUUGCUUUCUCUUGCUGGGUGUGUGUCUUAAUAUGCAUUGAUGACAUGGAAGCAGAUCACAGACGGAUCACUGGCCCCCCACUAACGUGAGCCCCCUCUCCCCAUGGCUUUUGUUCCCCUACUCCCCAGUUCACUCCCAGUCAUCAUCUUUAUUCUGUGCUUCUUUGAUGGCCCUUAGGACAGUUUGUGACUAUUUCAGUGUACCCGAUCUUGGUGUCACCCCCAGCUAAAACAUAAGCUCUACAAAGGCAGGCACCAUCUUAUCAUUUUGUUCCCAGGUAGAUUCCAAACCUACUGCCAUGGUGCUUAAUAUUUGUUAACUGAACAAUGCAUACAUGAAAUGUCCUUCUCACUAACCUAGAAUAAUAAAAAACCCCAGUACACUAUUGAAAUAUCAUACCCACAGAUCACCCAAAAUCUCAAGGAGAAUUUUUUUCGUAUCGUGACUUUGAGACUGUAAUAGAAUUCCUGUGCAUUCCGGUCUGUAAGUGGGCUGCAUGCUGGGGUUCAGGGUCGAGGACUGGCCGUGCAGGACAGCAGGGAGAGAGGAUCGCUCUGGAGAAGGCGGCUUCUGCGUGGGCGGGUGACCAAUCCCACGGGCGCUUUCUCCAGCACUGACCAGUACACUUCACCAAAACUGAAAAGGAAGCUGUUUAUAGCAUCGCAAAGAUCUCAGACAUAAAGUCCCCACAAGAUAUUUUCACAUUUUAAAGAAAUUGAGAAUCAGAAAAAUUAAAUUACACAAAGUCACCUCACUGAUAAUUUUAAAAUCUUAGCUAUAAAAUCAGAUCUUGUAAAUUGAACUUGAGUGAGUUUCCUAUUAAAACACAAAGUAACUACUUGUUUUUAGAAUGAAAAUAUCAUUUUAUUCCCCAAGCUAUAUAAAUGCUAUGUGAAAGUUUUAUUGCUCUAAAAAUUUAAAGACAACAAAACAAAUUUAAAAACUCAGUCUUGUCUCUUGUUAUAUAAGCUAAUCUAAAACAUUGUCAUAUAAAGUGACCUAAAACAUUUUAAAUUAUCUAAAAUGCAAAGAAAAUCUUGUUCUUGCUUCUAAAAUCUUAGAAAUAUUGUAUACUUGUAGUUCAGCUGGCUUGUUUAUGUAAGGGAGAUUUUUUCCCCUUGAGCAUUAACUGCAGGAUGUGCAAGCAGUGUUCAAUGUUAAAUGUCUUUUAACCCAAUAAUAUAAAUUUUGGGCUUGUACACUGUGGGUUAUUUCUCCUCUGAGAUCAUCUGCUUUCAGUAAUUUUUUUCACUUUUGGAUCAAGUUGUCACUUGAGCACUUUGGAGUAUAUCUGGACUCAUCUGGUUUUGCUCUCCAUUUCUUAUCCCCUUGGAAUUACAAAGAUCGUCAGUUUGAUUUCAGUGUGCAUCUGAUAUGUGACAAGAUAAACAGUGCUGGGUAUGCUGGGCCCACAUUGUACUAGUGUCACCCUCCUCUGACAGAUGGCCAGCGUGGUGUCUGCUUUAGGAGCAUCCUUCAUUUGGAACUGCUUCCUGCAUCAUUGGUUUAUUGCAACUGGUAGUGACAUGGUUGGAAGAGUAACUUGCAAAAGCAGAUGACAUGAUGGUAUAAUUUAUACAAAUAAUUAUCCGUACACAGGCACACUGCUCAAAUGCAGAAAUAAUUUCUGUUGCCUUGAAAAAUGGUGGGGGGUUUAUGGAAGAUCCUUGCUCACUCAUGGCCUAAUUCAUUUUCUAUUACAAUAAAUUCAGUAAUUGUAGAAAAAGUCGCACACCUGCUUCCAUUUCUCGUAAUGGCUCUGCAGGUUGGACUGCAGCGUGAGUGAAAAGAUGGUCUGUUUUCAAAGCCUUGGCAGCCUGCAGUGACCUUCAGGAGGAUCGAGAUGCUCCGCUGGCUGGAGAAACAAUGGGGCAGAAGCCAGCGAGGCACAGCAGAUGCAGCGUUAUACUUCCCAAGUCAGAAGUGGUUAGCAGCAGCUCAGGGGAGGAGGAGGAGAAAAGGACCUCCCUCUGCAAGAUGUUUCUAUGCAAAAAGUAAACAUGGGUGAGAAAAAAUUUCAGAGAAGAAAAUAUUUGUUUUUCACUCUCUUAUAAAGCUUACUGCACGCACAAUAUCUAGACCAUGGACUGUAACCUGUUGAAAAGCAUGCAGGGAAAUAAAACUGGGACCUUUUCAUAGCAUAGCAUAUGGAAGAACUUAUAGUGGUCAUACUAUUUUGCAAUUAAAUUGUUUUCUGUGCAAAGCAUUAUAUUUAUUAUGAAAUGCAUAUGCUAUUUGUUCAAGUUGAGCAUGAUUAUUUGCAUUUUUGAUAAUGUAUGAGAAUAAUGUAACAAGAGCUGUAGGAGUUUGUUGACUAACUAAAAUGACCUCAUAUAGCUGUGUCUAGGAUCUAGAACAGAUAAGGCAGCACAAAUCUGAAAAUAUAUUUUUUAUUUUUGUAAGGAAUGAAAAGGAUUGCAGUAGACAGGGAAUAGAUAUGCCAUAUACUAAUAGUUUUAUUAAAAUGCUUAUAAAUGAUGUUAAAAUAGUUAUAAAACUGUCCUAACCAUGCAUGUUUGCAUGGUCUACACAUGAACAUUUAUCUGCACAAAUAAAAAUUCCCCUAAACCCACAAAUGCCCUGUUGUUCAUAUGUUGCCCAAAACUUUUAGGUUCUUAAUUUUACAUUAAAAUAUAUCAUUGUAAUUACAUUAGAACUAGGAAUAGUGGGGGAUAGAGACAAUAUAAUAUCAUAACAUUAAGAAUUUCAUUUUACUCUUACUUGAAAAAAAAUUAUACUCCUAGGUGGUUUUGCAACUCUCAGGAGCUCUUUCCUUACUUGUUCUUUACAGUUAGUGACCUACAUAAAAUCUGUGCUGAGUCUUCAAUCUGAAAUCUCUGAGUGCUCAGCAUAAAUAACACCUGAAGUUUUAGGUUUCUGUGUGCACAUACUGUCUUUCUAUAAAAAACACAGGUGUAAAAGAAAAAGAUGGAAAGGAUAUUCAGUUACUUUCGUCCUUCUACAUAUUUUUGACCAUCUUCACUUGGAAAUUUGAUGAAACUUGGCCCUGUCUCCAGAGUUAAAAUAGAGCAUGGACACAGAAACAUACUGUAUUUCAUUUCAGAGUAUUUGCCAACUCUAUGAAUUUCCAAGGAUUUCUCGGACCCAUGGAAGCAAAUAAAAAAAACCUCCUUUUUGUUUUUUUGCAGCAAAUUGCUCAACACACUAAACUCCAUACCAUUAAAUUGUGAGGCAUAUGCAUAGACUUUAUCUUUAACAAUGGCUUUGUGUCCAGCUUCCAUCAAGGCCACCCUGCUAUCCCUAAGAUUUUGUUUCCAGUGUCUCAUCUCAGGAGUCAUUUCUGUCCACUCCUAAGUGUGCCUCUGAACAGCCACAUCAGCCUCAUUUGAGAAUGUGUUAAAAUGCAGAUUCCUGGGACAUUGGCCCACAACUACUGAAUCAGAAACCUGGGAAGGGAUCCAGCAAUUUAUUUAUUUUAAUUAAGAAGACUUGCAGGUGGUUGUGAUGUGAGAAACCUCCUUGUUUCUAAUCCCCAUAGCCAAGAAUCUAUUUUAAUUAUUUGAUUAAUAUGUGACUUACAUAUAAUAAAGUACACACAUUUUUAUACAUACAUUUUGGUGACUUCUGACAUAUCUGCAUACCCCUUCAUCAACCACUGGAGUCAGGAUGUUGAACAUUUUCUCCAUCUCCCUGGAAAGUUUCCCUAGGUACCUUCACAGGUAAUCCCCACGACCUGCUCUUCCAGAAAUUUGAACUCCUUUUCAACACUAUUGAUUAAUGUUGCAUGUUCUAGAACUUCAUGUAAAUGCAAUCGUAUAGCCUGUAUCUGCUCUGUGUAUUUGUUUCAAAUUUACCCAUCUUGCUGGGUAUCAUGAGUUUCUUUCUUUUUAUUGCCAAGCAAUGACCCAUGGUAUGACUCUAUGACAGUUUUUAUCCAUUCAUUUGCUAUUGCACAUUAGGGCUGGUUACAGUUCAGGGUGAAUAUGAAUAAAACUGCUACGAACAUUCUUUUAUAGUCUUUUCGUGAAUGUAUUUUUAUUUAUUGUAAACUAGAACUGUAACUGCAGGACCACACAGUCAGUGUACUUGGAACUUUACAAGGCCGCCAAACUACUCUCUGUAGGGCUGCUGCAUUCCCAUGAGAAACACUUAACGCUCUGGCUUCGUCGGCGUCACCACCAGAAUUGGAUGCUGUCCGUGUUUUGUUGUCAUUGCUAUUUUUAAGUGUUUUCCCUUGCAAUGACUGUGGUUUUAAGUUUCAUUUCUUUUCAUGUGUUUGUUGGUCAUGAUGAAGUGUCUGCUAAGUUAUUUUGGCUAUUUUUAAUUGAGUUGAUUUUCUCAUUAUUAUUCAAUAUGAUGUGAUAUACAGGCCAAUGUUUUUUGUUUUUUCCACAUGGAUACAUAGUUAUUCCAACGUAUUUGUUGAAACUUCAGUCAAGUAUUUGUCUACUUUUCUAAAAUAAUUUGCCCUAGUUUUUAAAGUUUAAGGUUCAUAUCCAUUAUUCUUAAAUUUUGGACACUGGCUCUAUUAGAUAAUAAUGGUUUGCAAACAUAAAAAUACAGCUUUCAGUAUUCAUCUAAAUAUAAAUAUUAGUCUAAAUGUAAGUAUUAGUUUGGCCCAAAUUUCAGUAGAAAAAGGAAAAGACAAAAAAUGCCAUUAGGUAGAAUCUACCUCGCUGAAUGGUGAGUCUGCACUUUUAAGCAGCAUCUCAUUUGUUAAUGAAAAAUGUUACUCAGUGGACAAAGAUAAACUACCACUAGCUUUUCGAUGCUAAAUUGGAAGUAAAAUGACUUAAAUAAUGAAGUACUUAGUAAACUAUGUAUUGAUUUGUUAUGGCCACAGAAAAUAGCAAUUUUUAAAAUAGCUUUAUUUUUAUAAUGUUAUAAUAGAAAGACAUGUUUAUUUACAAAAACUGAGAUGUAAUAGAAAAACAGAGUAAUUAAAAUCAACCAUAAUUCUCCGAUUGUUAACUCGUGAUGUGUUGCUGUGUGUUCUUCCAAAUGUACUGUCACAAAAAUCAAAAUGGAAACAUUCUGUAGUUGUAAUUGUUUUCCUUAGAUCUCUUUGUGUCUUAGUAAAGAUUGGAAUAAUACAAGAUUUUAUUAUUUUACGGUCAUAAGUCUUGGAUAACCAUUUCUCUAGGGAUGAACAAACACGUUUUAUUAUUAUUGUUCUGUUUUGCUUUUCAUUGCAAACACUACUGUUAACAGCCUGAUAUGAAUAAUUUCGCAUUCUUGUCUAUUUUAAAUGGCAGUAUAUCUUUCAAUGAAUGAAAUUGAUAGUUCCAUUUAUUUUUCUUUCUUUUUCAUUUUUUCUUUCUUUUUUGAGGCAGGGUCUCACUACGUAGUAGUCCAGGCUGGCCUUGAACUCACUAUGUAGCCUAGGCUGGGUUUGAACUCAGUAAUCCUCCUGCCUCAGCUUCCUGGGUGCUGAGAUUACAGGCGUGCGGCACCACGCCUGGCUUCAUUUCUUUUUUAAUGUAUUUAUUCUUCAAUUUAAACAUUCAAUUUUGGUGACUUUGGCUGUGUCAGCAUAUUUAACCUACAGGGACAUUUACAAUCUGAAAGUAAACCAGAAAGCUGCCAAACCUUGUAUUUUUCCAGGGUUUUUGAAGACUUUAAUGAGUUUAUGUGCAUGGAAAUAGAUAAAAAUUUCUGCUAAACUUUCCUAUUAUUGAAAAUUGUGAGAAAUAUAGUCCUAUCAUUAAAUAUUAAUAUAACAAACAUUUAUUGUGCACAAGGCCCUUUCUACAUACAAAAGAGUUGAAAGAAAAUGUGAGGUACUAUGGAGGAGGAGAAAAAACUAGUAAGUAAAAUUUUCUCUUUUAUCAGAGGCAUUUGUUUUUAAAUUUUACCUUUUGUAAUAUAACUGAAUUUCAAGUAUUCAUAUGCCAUUUUAGUAGCAGUUUCUUACUCCAGGGUACUCAUGUAGCUUACAGGUACAUUAAUUAUUUAAUUUCUUUUCCCUCUGGAAAAAAGAAAAAGUCUGGAAUCCAAAAUUUUUUCUUACACAACUGCCUGUCCUUGGCCACUGGCAUGCAGUGGAGCAGGUCUUUCCUCCAUUUAUGGAGUAUUGUAUAAUAAAUGCGCUGAGCACCCUCAAGCAGUUUGCAACCUACCUGGGACUUGAAGACUUGAAAGUGGUUUAGCCAUGAGAAGGUGGGUGCACUGUUAAACCUGUCUGCCACAGAGACUGUGCCUCAGCUUCUCCUGACCGUCUCAUCCUGACCCCCUGGCCCCAUCCUCUAUGAUUCGGGGCAAAGUUCAUUCCAGGCUGGGGAGAUUCCUCAGGAUUUGUGCUCUGCACAGUCCCCGUAAUGCCUCAUGAAGGCCUGUUCAAAAGCGUGACUUGGUGUGAAUACAUAUGGAGAGCUUUUUCUUUAGAUUAUUAUGUUUACAAAGCAGGGCUGGGAGAAGAGCCCUGCCAGGCAGCAUUUACACAAACUUUAUUUUUAGUUUAAAUUGUUCAAUGAUCUUUGACCCAGAGACAAAUGUAGUACUAGUCAUUGUUUUAUGCCUCAUAUUAAAAAGCAAAAAAAAAUUUAACACAAAGGAAUAUUUAAUAUUUUUAGCCUAAGAUUACUACUUAAUUCAUUACACUGAGUAAUAUAUUAGAAAAAUAUUCCUGCCUGGAAAGAAUAAAGUCCUGAGUUCGAUUGCAGGUAUGGGGAAAAAUAUACAGCAUUAGAAUAAUAUUGAUAGGUUUGAUUGACAAGUCACUUUCAUAGUAAGAAUUUUUCACCUAUUAACUGGGUAAAUCUACAUCCUGGGAAACUCUAUUUGUAUUUUAGGUAUCUUAAAAGUUUCAUUUAUUUGAUACAUAUCGUGUUGGAGAUUUCAUUUCCUCUGGUGCUUAUAAAUGUAUACUGCUAAGGAUUUUUUAUAGUGUGGGAAGUGAAUCCACAGUCCCCAGCGUCCGCUAGAUUCCUUAUAGAAAGCCAGCUUCCACAGGCCCGUCUUCUUUAUCUGUGUCUGUUAUCUCUGUUGCAGUCGCGACAAGGUGGGUGAAUGGUUCUCCAAGAAUCAGGAGCCACCGCUUUGUGAGCAGUGCUCUUUUCUGCCUCCUUCCUGCCAGCUAAUGUCACUGCUUCCUUAUCUUUCGCUUCUUUCCUACCUGCCUGACUCACAAUGCUGGUUGGUCGUCAGUGACAGCUGUGUCCCAACUGCCUGGGAGCAAGAAUGUCUCCAUGGACAUUUCGCAGUUUUAUUGGCAGUUUUAUUGGCAGGCGUGGAGCUGUUGGGAAAAUAGCCUCACAAACCUGUUUUCUCAUGCACUUCUUACCUGGAAUUUGCGUCAUUCUGCGACUGGGAGGCAGGGCGUCCAGGAGUCUCCGGUUCUAAGUGAAAACACUGAAGGUGCUAUUAUUUUCUGUAUUUAUAGUUAAGUCUUCAGUGAGCUGUGCAGUCAGUGAGGGACUAAACUAUAUUCCACUGUGACGGCAAGUCAUCAGGGACAAGAAUAUUAAGUCUAAGGACCUAUGACCUAAAGAGACUUUUUAAAAAUUCAUUUUUGAAAAAAUUCAGUUUACUCUUAAUAUAUCCCUAUACUUAUUAGCAUAUACAUUUUCAACUUAAACUUUUAAUAGGCAUUUACUUUAAUCAGUUUUAAAUAUUUUUCUUGAAAUAAAGACUUCAAUAAAUAUUAAUUACUUAGUUCCUCCAUAUGAGCAAUGUCAGAAUAUAAAUUUCCCCUAAUUAAGUGUAGUCAUCUGCUUUCUAAAGCAAUCACUUCUUAGCACUCAUUAUGUGACUCAAGUCAUUAAAUUUUUAACUGUAUCAAUCUUACCUCAAAUUGAGUAAUUCUUACCUUAUGAAUUUCAAUAUUAUAUGUACCAAAAUCAUCCAACCCUCCAAAUAAUUGUAAUCAAAAAACAAUAUGAAACAAAUAAGAAUUUCUUUAAGAGUAAACUUGAAUUCACCUCACACUAUUAUUAAUUAAAAUGAUAAUAUUCCAAAUUUUCUUGGAUAAGUUAGUACCAAUAUUUUAUUAUCCAUUAAAAGAAAGGAAAUCACAUCUCACUAGUAAAUACCAAUUCAUCAGCUUUUGAAUUUAAAUGCAAAUAUUUUCUACCUCUUACCUUUGCAAAGAGCUAAAGUAGAAAUUGCAUAUGCUAUGCAUUACAUUACACAGGCUUAAAAAGUCAAUUAUUUUUAGCACUAGUCUCUGAAAUCUUAUUUUAGAUCAACAUGAAUGAAUUCAAUUUUUAUCCUACUUUAUAUAUUAAAUUUUACUACAAUAGUAAAAUUCUCAGACUUUUUUAAUUUAAAAACUAGGAUUUUAUUAUAGUUCUUAGAAAUCCCUGUGUAAUUUUCAGUACAUUACUACAUGAAUAACAAAGUACAAGUUGUUCUGAUAUACAUACUUCAAAUAUGACCUCUAUUUUUUUCAUAAGGAACAGACAAUUUUUCAUAUAUUAUUAAACCACUGGUAUACUGAGUAGUGAUGAGGAGGAUGUCUUAGCAAACUUACCCUAGACCACAGUAUAAGGAUUCAAUACUAAAGUUGGGUAUUUCCUCUCAGUACCCGAAAUCUUAAUUUGGACCUUCUGUACUAACAGUAAUGGAUAUCCAGUUUUCUCUAAUCAUGACUUGGGAUUUUUUUGCUGAACAGCAACAUAGUAAGAUCCUUGUGCUGCUCCUGCUUCUGCCAUUACUUGUACAGAGCACGCACACAGACACCACCAAGAGCCUACAAGUUGCUGCCAUUGCUUCUACUGUAGUGGUCAGAAUCAAAUUUCAAGAAAAACAAAGACGUUAAAAUGCACUCAGAAAAAAGUAAUAUUUUUUCUAUCAUUUGCUCCUUAAGUAUGGUAUAUUAAGCAUCUAAGACUUCUCUUAAUGAUUGUGAUUUCUAACUAAAUCUGAAGUAAGUAGGGUUUACUAGAUUUAGGACUCAUUUUAUUAAACCCACUGGAUUCCUAUGCUAUAAAGCACCUAAUACAUUUUAACUUGAGUACUCAAAUAACAUCUCUCAAGUAUAACUUUUGAUAUGACUAUGUAUAUAUCUGGUGGAACAAACACCCCAUACUUCUCUCCUUUUUUCUAACCUGGGAAGUGAAAAAGUUUUAAGUCUAUAAUCACAUUGACAAGUAACAAUUUAUAACAAGAACAUAAGAAAAAACACUACAAACAUACGAUCAACGAGCUCUGAAAUCCUCUAGUCACUGUGAGGGCAGUCUUAAUAUUAGGAAGGUGCUCUUUGUUCUAUUCACUAUGUUCACAUUUGAAUUGAUGGUGUAAAAAUCUAGUGAAUAGCACCAAACUGACUGCCACGUAUUCAUGCUAAGAGAAGGAGUAGGAAAAGGAGGAAUAAGACAGCUUUAUCUGGGAAUGUGCUUGAUAAAGCAGUCAACGUUACUAAUUCCAUUAAACCUGAAUCUGUGAGUAUAGUCUUUUUGAUAAGCCAUGUGUUAAAAUGGGAAAAAUGCAAAGACAUUCUGCACUAAAAUACAAAGGUAGGCUUACAGGAAAAGCUCAUAUGGAUUGUUUGAGUUGCUAGCUGAACUAGCCACUUUCAUGAAGCAAAGGUAUACUUGAAAGAAAGAUUAGCAGAUAAGCUAUUGUUAUUCACAUGUGGAUAGUCUACAGAUAUUUUCUCAAAGAUAAACAAAACAAGCCUGUCAUUUCUGGAGAAACAAGUAUAGUAUUUAUUUCCAGUGACAAUAUUAAAAAUUUCAAGUAACACUAUUGGAAAUUUUAUAUAUGCCACAGAUUUCCAAUAUGUAAAGACUCUUCUGAUGAGAUAACUGGCAAUAUCACUAAAUGUAAUUUUUGGAUAAUGAAAUGUGUCAACAUUUGGAAGAUCUUCAGAACUCAGGGCAAUAUUUUCCAAAUGCCUUGUGCAUGAUGUGAAGAUUUAUGCAUGAUAAAUGAUCCAUUCAAAGUGAAAAAUAGACCAUUGAACUUUAAUGUAAUAGAGUACAUUUAUGUGGUUUGAGAUUCCACAUUGCAGUAAACUUUUGAGAAUCUGUUACUUGUCAAGUUUUGGUGUAAUAUUAAAGAAAUACACCCACAAUUAUCUGAAAAGGCUAAUAAAUUACUUCUUCCUUGCUCAACUACAUAUCUGUGUGAAACCUUUUUUAUUUAUGUCAACCCAGACAAUAUAUUGCAAUAGAAUGAAUGUUGAAAUAUUUGUAAAAAUCCAGCUGUUUUGUAUUAAGCCAGAUCUGAAAGAUUUGCAAAAACUGUAAAACAACAUCUCUCUUUUCACAAGUCUUUGUUUUGAAAGGGUCCUAAUUUUUAUAUUGACAUUGUUUAUGUUACCAUGUAGUAAAUUGGUCCAUUAUUUCUAUUUUUAAAUGGAUCAAUAUUUUCAGAAACUCUUAGCUUAAAUUUCUGGUGUGGUUAAGAACUGUACAGGUAGAGCCUUAGGUUUGUAGCUCGGAUAGAAGCACAUAUUUAUCCUAAGUGAGGCUCUGAGUUCCAUCUAUAACAGUACAAAAAAAGAAAAAAAAAUAGAUUUAAGUUAUAUAAACAAAAGUUUCAGAAGCCAAACAUUGAGAAUUGCUUAUAUAAAUCAUCAGAUGAGUAUGCAACAAGCUGUUAAAAUCUAAAAUGAGGCUUAACCACUAGAGGGAGCUUUUAUUUUAUAUAAAUGUAUAGCAUAGAGGCAUUAAGAAUUUGCAUGAAAAAUGUAAGACUUCUAUGAUAGCAGUAUUAAAUAUAUAACACAAAGCUUUAUUAGAAUCCUACUGCUUUAUUUCUUCAGUAGCCCAGUAGACAAAAUGAAAGAAUUUUCUUCUGUAGGCAUAAUUUUUCUGUGAAUACUAUGGUUAAGAAAAUUAGUUUUACAUUUUAGACAUUCAAAAAAAUCAUGGAUCCUUAAUAUAUGAUACCAUAUGAAAAGAACUCAAUGGUUUUUCUUCUGCUUAUAAAUAGCAGGGCAUGAUGUGAGUCUUUCUGUUGACUGGCCUUUGAGGAAUUGCUAACUGAUUACAAAUCAGUCAGAGACACUGCUGAGAUCUUGCAUAUCUCCCAAGAUGCUUGCAUUAGUCACAGGGAGAUGGCUGUCCAUGUGAAAGUGGUAACUAAAUCCUGAGUGAUUUAUGUCUACUCUGAGGUCCACAGAAUCAUGUCACUACUGCAUCCUGCCAUCCCUGUGGUUUGAUGAACUCUUUUAAAUGAUACCCAUUUUUAUAAUAAAGUUUAUCUUUGUCUUCUUGAAGUCUUGAUAUGAAAAAAUCACAUAAUUCUUAAGAGAUGGGGAGACUGGAUGAAGAUGUGGGUUUUUUAAUAAAAUGGAGUACUAUUCAGCCAUAAAGAAUGAGAAAUUAGAGGCAUUUAUAGCUAAAUAGAUGCACAUUGAGGCAAUACUCUUAAGUGAAAUAGGACACACAUGUGUAAAUAAGUGAAAUAGGACACACAUAGUUUCUGUGGUGUGAGAAACUGAAGGUGUAAAUAAGGAACAAAAUGUAUAAUAGAUAAUGUGAAAUAGGAAGAAACGGUGCAAAGGUGAAGGGGAAGUGUGAGGGGUACAGGAAAGGAAAGGGGAAUGGAAUUAACAUAAGAAAAUGGAAAAAUGGAAAUACAGUGUUUGUAAAUAGGGAAGGGUGGAGGGGUUGAAGGAAGGGCAGGAUAUGGGGAAAAAUAAGAAUCAAGAUAUAUUAUGUAAAGGUACAAAUCUUCUAAUGAUGAAUGUCAUUGUAUUGUAUACCUAAAAUGCACCAAUAAAAUUUUUUAAAAAAGGGAGAUGGGCAGUCUCAAUAAAGCUGUUAGAUUACUUCUUUAGAAGGAAUCGUGUGCAUUAUUAUGUGGAUUUCAUAAAUACUCUCAAAUGAAUAGUGUUCUGGUAAAACUAAAGCUCAGCACGUCCAAAUUUGCAGCAGCUGUGUUGUUACAAAUCCUUCAGGAUGCUUGUCCCCUGGUAAGAUAUCAUAUGC